CUACUUUUUUAUUUCUUAUCUAUAAAUAAAAUAAGACUUGUUUCCACUAGGAAUGCAACUGGCCUGGUAAUGAGAUCCCAGUCUGGUCUGGCUUCAAAGUUCAUGUUUGUUUACCAGAAGAUGAGUCAGUCCUGAAUAUAAACCUGAUCAGUGUCAUACACUUGGAAAGACCAGAAGAUGGGAUAAAAUAUGGAAAUAAAAACAUGGGAUGAGGUAUCUUAUUUUCUUUUCUUGAGAGGCCAAGGGUGAUAAAUAGAUGUUUUCAAGAAAAGCAAACUGCAGAGAUCCCAGCGCUUCUGUGUCAGAGGCUGAGUAUUAUUCCUGGAGCAUUAUUCCAGAUUCUUGUUCCUUUUCUGGGCAAGUGCUGGCCAUGCCAUGGACUGCAGUCUGAGAAAGGUGAACUUAAUUUUUCAGUGUACAGAGGAGCUUAUGAAGUUUUGCCUUGUAAUUACCCUGGUCAUAUCCCUGUAUGUCCACACUUCUACACCAUUUUUGCUGAAAAGAUGAUCGUGUAACCAGAUGUGUACUUGAAUUUCCUGAAUUUUAUGUAUCAUCUGGAUGAAGCAUCUGGAUCCACCUCAUUGUGUAGCCUUUACUGACACAAAAUAUUUUGGACUGGCAGGUAAAGGAAACCAGAAUCAGCUGGUAGUGUUCAGCUUGCUCCAAAGCCUGUUGGAUUGCCCUUAAUGACUACAUUAAGCUGAUCGGAAGCAGAGGGAAGCUGGUAGCUAUGCAAGAUACUGGACUUGCUUUCUGAUUCCAGCUCAGUCAGAGUGCUAUUUUCCUAUAUCUCUGUGAGCCGUGAAUUCUCACUUGGACUCAUCCAGGAGACAGAAAUGUUUCUGUGUAUGGAACUGGAAACAUGGUCACUAGUCAGCUAAAUGCAUCUGCCACUGGUGGAACCUGGAAGAACAACAAACUCACAUUUCUAUGGACUCCUAGCAAAACAUAACCUGUUUUUUUUUCCCCUGAAGAUAAAGAUAAAUUUUCACAGACACAACGCAGCCACACUGUAUUUAUAGCUGCAGAUGGCUGCUCUUUCCCCUUAGCCUCACAAGUAUGUAUAUUAAACAAUAGGAAACUCUGCAGAGGUGUUUUUCUUUGUUUUGUUGUAUGUGAGCCUGUC
Molecule: long non-coding RNA, 1126 nt
Filed under: Anas platyrhynchos platyrhynchos (common mallard)
Lineage: Eukaryota; Metazoa; Chordata; Aves; Anseriformes; Anatidae
Description: lncRNA (ENSAPLG00000026096.1)
Source: RNAcentral